RNAcentral lists this ribosomal RNA (500 nucleotides) under uncultured bacterium. RNAcentral describes it as "partial 16S ribosomal RNA". It matches the Rfam family "Bacterial small subunit ribosomal RNA", at positions 29 to 523 of the family's 1533-position model. The record is from RNAcentral.
AUUGAACGCUGGCGGCAUGCCUUACACAUGCAAGUCGAACGGCAGCACGGGAGCAAUCCUGGUGGCGAGUGGCGAACGGGUGAGUAAAGUAUCGGAACGUGCCCAGUCGUGGGGGAUAACGUAGCGAAAGUUACGCUAAUACCGCAUACGAUCUAUGGAUGAAAGCGGGGGAUCGCAAGACCUCGCGCGAUUGGAGCGGCCGAUAUCAGAUUAGGUAGUUGGUGGGGUAAAGGCCCACCAAGCCGACGAUCUGUAGCUGGUCUGAGAGGACGACCAGCCACACUGGGACUGAGACACGGCCCAGACUCCUACGGGAGGCAGCAGUGGGGAAUUUUGGACAAUGGGCGAAAGCCUGAUCCAGCCAUGCCGCGAGCAGGAUGAAGGCCUUCGGGUUGUAAACUGCUUUUGCACGGAACGAAAAGGACUGCCCUAAUACGGUGGUCCCAUGACGGUACCGUAAGAAUAAGCACCGGCUAACUACGUGCCAGCAGCCGCCGUAA